RNAcentral lists this ribosomal RNA (824 nucleotides) under Pseudomonas sp. 13016. RNAcentral's name for it is "bacterial SSU rRNA". It matches the Rfam family "Bacterial small subunit ribosomal RNA", at positions 56 to 877 of the family's 1533-position model. The record is from RNAcentral. Lineage: Bacteria; Pseudomonadati; Pseudomonadota; Gammaproteobacteria; Pseudomonadales; Pseudomonadaceae.
UGCAGUCGAGCGGUAGAGAGAGCUUGCUUCUCUUGAGAGCGGCGGACGGGUGAGUAAUGCCUAGGAAUCUGCCUGGUAGUGGGGGAUAACGUCCGGAAACGGACGCUAAUACCGCAUACGUCCUACGGGAGAAAGCAGGGGACCUUCGGGCCUUGCGCUAUCAGAUGAGCCUAGGUCGGAUUAGCUAGUUGGUGGGGUAAUGGCUCACCAAGGCGACGAUCCGUAACUGGUCUGAGAGGAUGAUCAGUCACACUGGAACUGAGACACGGUCCAGACUCCUACGGGAGGCAGCAGUGGGGAAUAUUGGACAAUGGGCGAAAGCCUGAUCCAGCCAUGCCGCGUGUGUGAAGAAGGUCUUCGGAUUGUAAAGCACUUUAAGUUGGGAGGAAGGGCCAUUACCUAAUACGUGAUGGUUUUGACGUUACCGACAGAAUAAGCACCGGCUAACUCUGUGCCAGCAGCCGCGGUAAUACAGAGGGUGCAAGCGUUAAUCGGAAUUACUGGGCGUAAAGCGCGCGUAGGUGGUUUGUUAAGUUGGAUGUGAAAUCCCCGGGCUCAACCUGGGAACUGCAUUCAAAACUGACUGACUAGAGUGUGGUAGAGGGUGGUGGAAUUUCCUGUGUAGCGGUGAAAUGCGUAGAUAUAGGAAGGAACACCAGUGGCGAAGGCGACCACCUGGACCAACACUGACACUGAGGUGCGAAAGCGUGGGGAGCAAACAGGAUUAGAUACCCUGGUAGUCCACGCCGUAAACGAUGUCAACUAGCCGUUGGGAGCCUUGAGCUCUUAGUGGCGCAGCUAACGCAUUAAGUUGACCGCCUGGG